GACGAGUGGCGGACGGGUGAGUAAUGUCUGGGAAACUGCCUGAUGGAGGGGGGAUAACUACUGGAAACGGUAGCUAAUACCGCAUAACGUCGCAAGACCAAAGAGGGGGACCCUCGGGCCUCUUGCCAUCGGAUGUGCCCAGAUGGGAUUAGCUUGUUGGUGGGGUAACGGCUCACCUAGGCGACGAUACAUAGCCGACCUGAGAGGGUGAUCGGCCACACUGGGACUGAGACACGGCCCAGACUCCUACGGGAGGCAGCUG
RNAcentral lists this ribosomal RNA (262 nucleotides) under uncultured bacterium. RNAcentral's name for it is "partial 16S ribosomal RNA". It matches the Rfam family "Bacterial small subunit ribosomal RNA", at positions 90 to 354 of the family's 1533-position model. The record is from RNAcentral.